CCUACGGGUGGCAGCAGUGGGGAAUAUUGCACAAUGGGGGAAACCCUGAUGCAGCGACGCCGCGUGAGCGAAGAAGUAUUUCGGUAUGUAAAGCUCUAUCAGCAGGGAAGAAAAUGACGGUACCUGACUAAGAAGCCCCGGCUAACUACGUGCCAGCAGCCGCGGUAAUACGUAGGGGGCAAGCGUUAUCCGGAUUUACUGGGUGUAAAGGGAGCGUAGACGGUUUGGCAAGCCUGAAGUGAAAGCCUGGGGCUCAACCCUGGGACUGCGUUUGAAACUGUAAAGCUGGAGUGUCGGAGAGGUAAGCGGAAUUCCUAGUGUAGCGGUGAAAUGCGUAGAUAUUAGGAGGAACACCAGUGGCGAAGGCGGCCUACUGGACGAUAACUGACGUUGAGGCUCGAAGGCGUGGGGAGCAAACAGGAUUAGAUACCCUAGUAGUC
RNAcentral lists this ribosomal RNA (440 nucleotides) under uncultured bacterium. RNAcentral's name for it is "partial 16S ribosomal RNA". It matches the Rfam family "Bacterial small subunit ribosomal RNA", at positions 338 to 795 of the family's 1533-position model. The record is from RNAcentral.